GGGAGUAUAGCUCAGAUGGUAGAGCACUGCUUUUGCACAGCAGAUGACAUCGGUUCGAAUCCGUUUACUUCCA
RNAcentral lists this transfer RNA (73 nucleotides) under Karlodinium veneficum. RNAcentral's name for it is "tRNA-Ala". It matches the Rfam family "tRNA". Rfam says of the family: Transfer RNA (tRNA) molecules are approximately 80 nucleotides in length. Their secondary structure includes four short double-helical elements and three loops (D, anti-codon, and T loops). Lineage: Eukaryota; Dinophyceae; Gymnodiniales; Kareniaceae. The record is from RNAcentral.